GGAAGUUUGUGGGUGUACUUGUAAUAAUCUCCUUAUUGUCACUUUACAGGUUUUGGCGGUGUACGAUAUGUUCGAUCGAUCAAUGGCGCUUGGUCCUCUUGACAUGAUCACUGCCACUUGAUUUAGCACAUUAACCUUGCUCAUGUGGUACAACUUUGAGUGGGCUUUGAUGACAUGAUCACUGCCACUUGAUUUAGCACAUUAACCUUGCUCAUGUGGUACAACUUUGAGUGGGCUUUGAUCGUGUAAUACAAUUAUGCCCGUUGAAUGUUAUUCAGGCCUUUAUGUGAGAUUCUGAUGCUCCGGUGUUCUUAGGUUUGUAAAAGUUGGAAGUUUUGGUGGAGGCUAGACUGACUAUGGAAAACUUGACAUCGAAUUUUUUUCUUGCACACACAAAAAAUGUCAAAUUCUUGCACUGGAGACUUUACAGUGACAAUUAAGGACGGUUUUACUGACACAGUGAAAUUUGGGAUUACCAGAUGUCCAGUAGACUAAUUGUCGUUUACGG
RNAcentral lists this long non-coding RNA (508 nucleotides) under Triticum aestivum (bread wheat). RNAcentral describes it as "long non-coding RNA (TAES_LNC009138)". The record is from RNAcentral. Lineage: Eukaryota; Viridiplantae; Streptophyta; Magnoliopsida; Poales; Poaceae.